CGACCCUCAAGCACAGCUUGGUGUUGGGCACGGUCCUGCAGGACCCGCCCGUAACUUGUAGGCGGCCGCCGCCCGCGCCCCCAGCGUAGCAAGCUCACGCGUUCGCUCGGGGACGGCGCGUCUGGCCCUGCCCGCCAGUAAAUUUUUCCAAG
RNAcentral lists this unclassified non-coding RNA (152 nucleotides) under uncultured Venturiales. RNAcentral describes it as "sequence contains ITS2". The record is from RNAcentral. Lineage: Eukaryota; Fungi; Ascomycota; Dothideomycetes.